GCCCGGGUGGCGGAACGGGCAGACGCAGAGGACUUAAAAUCCUCUGGACCUCUGGUCCGUGCGGGUUCGAGUCCCGCCCCGGGCACCA
RNAcentral lists this transfer RNA (88 nucleotides) under Thermoleophilia bacterium. RNAcentral's name for it is "tRNA-Leu". It matches the Rfam family "tRNA". From Rfam's summary of the family: Transfer RNA (tRNA) molecules are approximately 80 nucleotides in length. The record is from RNAcentral. Lineage: Bacteria; Bacillati; Actinomycetota; Thermoleophilia.